RNAcentral lists this ribosomal RNA (885 nucleotides) under Heliocybe sulcata. RNAcentral describes it as "eukaryotic LSU rRNA". It matches the Rfam family "Eukaryotic large subunit ribosomal RNA", at positions 56 to 950 of the family's 3401-position model. The record is from RNAcentral. Lineage: Eukaryota; Fungi; Basidiomycota; Agaricomycetes; Gloeophyllales; Gloeophyllaceae.
GCAAGAACUAACAAGGAUUCCCCUAGUAACUGCGAGUGAAGCGGGAAAAGCUCAAAUUUAAAAUCUGGCGGUCUUCGGCCGUCCGAGUUGUAUUCUGGAGAAGUGCUUUCCGCGCUGGACCGUGUAUAAGUCUCUUGGAACAGAGCGUCACAGAGGGUGAGAAUCCCGUCUUUGACACGGACUACCAGUGCUUUGUGAUGCGCUCUCAAAGAGUCGAGUUGUUUGGGAAUGCAGCUCAAAAUGGGUGGUAAAUUCCAUCUAAAGCUAAAUAUUGGCGAGAGACCGAUAGCGAACAAGUACCGUGAGGGAAAGAUGAAAAGCACUUUGGAAAGAGAGUUAAACAGUACGUGAAAUUGGUGAAAGGGAAACGCUUGAAGUCAGUCGCGUUGGCCGGGACUUAACCUUUGCUUUUCGCUUGGUGGUAUUUUCCGGCCGACGGGCCAACAUCAAAUUUGACUGGCUGGACAAGGGCUGAAGAAUGUGGCCACCCUUCGGUGUGUUAUAGCCUCUGUUCGUAUACGGCCAGUUGGGAUUGAGGACCGCAGCUUCGGCUUAGAAUGUUGGCGUAAUGGCUUUAAACCGACCCGUCUUGAAACACGGGACCAAGAAGUCUAACAUGCCUGCGAAGUGUUUGGGUGGAAAACCCGAGCGCGCAAUGAAAGUGAAAGUUGAGACCUCUGUCGUGGAGGGCAUCGACGCCCGGACCUGAUCUUCGGUGACGGAUCUGCGGUAGAGCAUGUAUGUUGGGACCCGAAAGAUGGUGAACUAUGCCUGAAUAGGGUGAAGCCAGAGGAAACUCUGGUGGAGGCUCGUAGCGAUUCUGACGUGCAAAUCGAUCGUCAAAUUUGGGUAUAGGGGCGAAAGACUAAUCGAACCAUCUAGUAG